GGCCUGCGGAAGGAUCAUUAAUUAUGUUAAAGCGCCUUACCUUAGGGUUUCCUCUGGGGUAAGUGAUUGCUUCUACACUGUGAAAAUUUGGCUGAAAGACUCAGACUGGUCAUGGGUAGACCUAUCUGGGGUUUGAUCGAUGCCACUCCUGGUUUCAGGAGUACCCUUCAUAAUAAACCUAGAAAUUCAGUAUUAUAAAGUUUAAUAAAAAACAACUUUUAACAAUGGAUCUCUUGGUUCUCGCAUCGAUGAAGAACGUAGCAAAGUGCGAUAACUAGUGUGAAUUGCAUAUUCAGUGAAUCAUCGAGUCUUUGAACGCAGCUUGCACUCUAUGGUUUUUCUAUAGAGUACGCCUGCUUCAGUAUCAUCACAAACCCACACAUAACAUUUGUUUAUGUGGUGAUGGGUCGCAUCGCUGUUUUAUUACAGUGAGCACCUAAAAUGUGUGUGAUUUUCUGUCUGGCUUGCUAGGCAGGAAUAUUACGCUGGUCUCAGGAUCUUUUUUUUUGGUUCGCCCAGGAAGUAAAGUACAAGAGUAUAAUCCAGUAACUUUCAAACUAUGAUCUGAAGUCAGGUGGGAUUACCCGCUGAACUUAAGCAUAUAU
This 605-nucleotide ribosomal RNA is filed under the name Rhizopus arrhizus. RNAcentral's name for it is "eukaryotic LSU rRNA". The stretch from base 214 to 367 matches the Rfam family "5.8S ribosomal RNA". The record is from RNAcentral. Lineage: Eukaryota; Fungi; Mucoromycota; Mucoromycetes; Mucorales; Rhizopodaceae.